Long non-coding RNA from Morone saxatilis (striped sea-bass), 3326 nucleotides. RefSeq lists it as uncharacterized. NCBI's taxonomy places the organism in Eukaryota, Metazoa, Chordata, Actinopteri, Moronidae. The record is from RefSeq and is a predicted model, not a curated record. The transcript is spliced from 5 exons.
GACAUUGCUUCAUUCAUUCGUUUGGGUGUGAACAAGUUUAGAUUGGAUGAACCAGAACAAAGAAUUUCAACCAAAAAGUAUAGACAUUAUUUAUCUAUAAUUUCCAGACAGCAGACCAACAUGAAUGGAGGGAAAGUCAAUUAAGUUACUAUUUUGGAUGAUUCACAGAAGUCACCCAAAUUGACAUGAAAAAGAAGUGACAUUCGCUGAAAAGUGAGUUGUUUGCAUCCCUGUAUAUAUAUAUAUAUAUUUAUAGAUUGUUUCAACUACUUGUAUGUGCAUGAUAGUUAGCUAAUUAUGCUUAACUUUGUUCCGAUUUGUCUUACUUGUUCUUAGCUGUAUGUUUAUUUCUGCACAAGUAUAUUGAAAGCAGAUUAAUUGUAUGUUUACAUACAUACUUGGCUGUGAGCCUUCAAUUCAAACCCUGUCUCCUACUAACACUUAACAUAUUGAUUUUGUUUCAUGAAGAAAAUCUUUUUCUAACUUUGAUCAAGUGCAGUAGUUUAAGUUUCUUAAAUGUUUUAUGCCACUCUGCAGAAGUCCAGAAUGCAGAAGUAGAACUACUCAUUCCCGUCUUUGGGCGUGAAUAAGAUUAGACUGGAUGAAUCAGAUGUAUAGAAAUAACUGAUCUGUAACAUCUCUCAGUUGAGACAGUGGACUUAAGCAGACCAACACGAACAGAGGGAAAGUCUGAUUAAUGUUUUUUACAAGGAUCUCAUGAAAAGAGGUAUGUUUUGCCAAAAUUCAUUUACAGACAAAGACAUAUUUAAUAUGUUGUCCUACAUGGUGAUGUUAUGUAUGUUUGGGGUUAAUUAGAUCCCAGGGAGGCUAACUCCCUGUCAGACAGCUUGUGAACAAACUGUUAGAAAACUUCAGUAGUCUUCAAAAGUCCAAAUAGACUUAACUCCAAAUGAUAAGGUUGAAUUAUUUUGUGGUUGACAAAAUAAAAUUAAUAAAAACUAAAACUAAAAUGUCUUCAAAUUUCUGUUAAGUGAACACCUAUACAUUCAAGUUCAAUCUUGACCGGAGACUUAGAUACCUUUUGUAUAAUAGAAGCGUACCAUGUCUUCUCUGUCACAUGACAUGAUACGUAUUACGUCAGUCAGCUUUUGCGUGUACAAAAAUUGAAAAUGAAGUCCAUCGGUCACCAUACUAGGCCAAACGUGCUUGUAAGUUAAUUUUCAGUUUUACAUUUUACUUACAAGACUUAUAAGUAUGUCCAAGUCUAAGCAGCUUUAAUAGUUACGGUUGGAAUUUUCAUGUGUGCCGCAUUGCAAAACUUGUCUGAAUCAGAGUCGUGUGUUGUAGCAACGUUAGCAUGUUAGCCUAGCCAUCGUUACAUUUAGAAAUGUCUGUCACAAUAGUUACAAUGCAUUUUACAAUUUAUUUUUGAUUAUGUUGCAGAUUCAAUAUUGUAGCAAUGUUGUGGUGAUUAACAUUCCCCCUGAACAAGGGGCUGCUUUUGGUUCUGGACCUCACAGUUAUGUAGCAACUAUCCAAUCCCCUAAUUGUGAGGAUGAGGAGACUGCCAUGGAGUGUGAUCCUCCAGAGACUGGAAGUCAUUUAAUGAACAGCAAUGUGGCACCACCUGGAUCAUCCACUGAUGCUGAUGAAGUGCCCAUGGAGGUAGACUAACAGCUGUAAGAAAACCAAAGUCUUGAAGAAGAGAGGCAAUGAAGAAAUACUGAAGACUUCAGCGUCUACUGCUACAUUAGCAGCUCUGUGACGCUGAACAUUUUCCCCAUCUCUACCAUCACAUAUGGGACUGCAGCAUAAACCAAUAGCUGUUAAGACAUUAUACAGAAAACCUCAAAUGUCAGCUUUACGAUGACACUAGAGGUAAAGUCAGAACAUCACCAAUGCAUUGUGACCACCAUGAAUGUCUGUGUAAAAUGUCAUGACAAUCUAUUGAAUGGUUGCUGAUUUGGACCAAAGAUGUGCUGAGAUGCUAGCGUGGCUAAAACAAACAAACAAAAAACCUAUGAACUUGUCAUAACUUUCUGUAAGAGAGGAUAUAUGAAUGUGACAUUUCUAAUAUUAUUUUAUUAUUUCAACAAUGUUCCUCAAGUAUAUCAGAAAGUAUUUUUAGCCCCUGGGCUGUAUUGUGGCGCUUAUGCUGAUUUGCAUGUAGCCUGAGAAAACAAUGCAGUUAGAUUUAAGAUCUGGCUAACAGAGAUGUGGCUAAGUGUAACAAGCAAAAGUGGGGACUGAAGUACUGUAGAUGGGUUUUCCUUUUAUGAGAAUUAUAAUAUGUGGGAGCCAGUGAGAGCUGUGCUCCAAUAAGAAGGGAUCUGAGCUCCCAUGAAAGCAGUGAAAUCAUACAUUUCUGUGGGGCACUAAUACAUUAUUAACAACCAUGAUUUUAGUCACAAAUAAUGCAUUUUCAGUGUCACAACAAAUGAUGGAUCCUCCCACAUACAUAGGAUAGGGUACUGUGCACCUGCAGCCAGCAGUGCCUAAAAUAACAACGCCUACUUUCAUAUGACACCAAAAAGGACCCCCCACCAAGCUCAGAUUGUAACUUGAACCCUGUUUCCAACAAAUGUCAUCUUCCACUCUGUCACACUGUCAAGUGAAAUUGUUUAUUUACUCACAUUUUCUGUGUUGUAAGACAUGAUCUGUUGAAAAAGUUAAAAGAAUCAUGUCAUGUCUGUUCUGUUCUCUGAAUGUUGUGGCAAUGAUUAAAGUGGAACAAAUUAAGAAGCCACCUCUGUGCCUUUAAUUUUAACCAUGAACUGCAUUUAGGUUUAGCCAACUAAAUUUACAAACCACAUCUCUGCAUCAGCUCCAUUAGUGAGCAGCUGUGAGGUGGCAGUAAGUAAUUAACACUCAUCGUAAAAAUAACAUUUGAUUACCCUUUUUUGUUUGAAACAUGGAAAGGGUGUUCUAAUGCAAUUGAUCAUACAUUCAUAUAUUCCCUUCACAGUAAUUAUCAACAACAUAAUCUCAUGGAUUGUGGUGGUCAUCAUUAUUAUUAUUAUUAUAGUUACUAUUAUUAUUGUUCAUUCUCCCCCAUUGUUGUGGCUAUUUCCGUCGUCAUCAUCUUCUUCAUCUUCAUCAUCAUCAUCAGUCACUUCUAUUAGUAUAGUUGUUGCUGUGCACCUUUGUCUCUGACCUUCUAUCUUUACCCCUCUACGCCCUCUCUCUCUCUCUCUCUCUAACCCCAACUGGUCGAGGCAGACGGCCACCCACCUAGAGCCGGGGUCUGUCUGAGGUUUCUGCCCCAAAAAGGACGUUUUUCCUUGCCGCCGUCUCCAAGUGCUUGGUCAUGGUGGUUAAGUUAAGUUAACUGUUGUUAACUUUUGUUAUAUAUUGGCGUUAUACGA